Molecule: ribosomal RNA, 694 nt
Filed under: Escherichia coli
Lineage: Bacteria; Pseudomonadati; Pseudomonadota; Gammaproteobacteria; Enterobacterales; Enterobacteriaceae
Description: bacterial SSU rRNA
Rfam family: Bacterial small subunit ribosomal RNA
Source: RNAcentral
CGUGGCUUCCGGAGCUAACGCGUUAAGUCGACCGCCUGGGGAGUACGGCCGCAAGGUUAAAACUCAAAUGAAUUGACGGGGGCCCGCACAAGCGGUGGAGCAUGUGGUUUAAUUCGAUGCAACGCGAAGAACCUUACCUGGUCUUGACAUCCACAGAACUUUCCAGAGAUGGAUUGGUGCCUUCGGGAACUGUGAGACAGGUGCUGCAUGGCUGUCGUCAGCUCGUGUUGUGAAAUGUUGGGUUAAGUCCCGCAACGAGCGCAACCCUUAUCCUUUGUUGCCAGCGGUCCGGCCGGGAACUCAAAGGAGACUGCCAGUGAUAAACUGGAGGAAGGUGGGGAUGACGUCAAGUCAUCAUGGCCCUUACGACCAGGGCUACACACGUGCUACAAUGGCGCAUACAAAGAGAAGCGACCUCGCGAGAGCAAGCGGACCUCAUAAAGUGCGUCGUAGUCCGGAUUGGAGUCUGCAACUCGACUCCAUGAAGUCGGAAUCGCUAGUAAUCGUGGAUCAGAAUGCCACGGUGAAUACGUUCCCGGGCCUUGUACACACCGCCCGUCACACCAUGGGAGUGGGUUGCAAAAGAAGUAGGUAGCUUAACCUUCGGGAGGGCGCUUACCACUUUGUGAUUCAUGACUGGGGUGAAGUCGUAACAAGGUAACCGUAGGGGAACCUGCGGUUGGAUCACCUCCUU